RNAcentral lists this ribosomal RNA (1827 nucleotides) under Triticum aestivum (bread wheat). RNAcentral's name for it is "partial small subunit ribosomal RNA". Lineage: Eukaryota; Viridiplantae; Streptophyta; Magnoliopsida; Poales; Poaceae. The record is from RNAcentral.
AUGUUCGAGUACUGUCAUAUUGCCAAUAGGAUGUUUCAUAGCGAGGAUGAAGCUUAUAGAUUCUAUAAAAAAUAUGCUCUUCAGAGAUGUUUUAUUGUGGGGAGAAGCUAUGUUGAGUGGGAUGGAUCCAACAAUCAUAUAAAUUUAAAGAAAAUUACCUGUAGUCGUGAUGGGUUCGAGAAGAGAAGCACAUGAAAGGAAGAUGGAAGAUAGAAAGAGGAGGCACAGAGUAUAACUCGUGUUGGAUGUAAAGCUAAAUUGGUCAUUGCAAGAGAGGAAGAAACAUGUCAGUAGUUUGUGAAGGAUUUCAUCGAUGAACACAACCAUCCUCUAGCCCCACGAGAUCUCUCGUGUCUUUUGCAUUCACGCGGAAGAAUUAGCAAUGAGCAGAAAGCGGACAUUACAUGGAAAAAGUCUGGGAUCCGUAAACACCAUAUUAUGGAUAUUUUGUGCAUUCAAUACGGUGGAUGUGAUCAGGUUGGACGCACGAGGAGGGACAUUUACAAUUUCUGCCAUGCUAGUAAGCAGGAAUCAAUCGCUGUCGGUGAUGCUCAAACGGUGAUCAGCCACAUGAUGGUGCGGUGAGAGCGAGAUCCAGAUUUUUUCUUCGGGUACUUGGUUGAUGAACUUGGCCAUUUGAAGGGACUGUUCUGGUCUGAUAGUCAAUCCCAACUUGACUACGAUGCUUUCGGAGACACUAUUUUUUAUAGCACAUAUAGAACCAAUAAGUACAAUCUACCAUUUGUGCCGUUUGUCGGGUUGAAUCACCACCGCAACACUGUUAUCUUUGGAUGUGGUAUCAUUUCCUAUGAAACAAGCUAGACAUACGAGUGGAUGUUGCGAAACUUUUCUGAUGCCAUGGGAUAGAACCAUCUGAUAUCUGUGCUCACGGACGAGGACCUGACAAUGCAGAGAGCAAUCAGGGUGGUCUGGCAUGACUCAAACCUUAAGUUGUGUAUAUAGCACAUUCAGCAGUACAUUGUACAUCAUCUGCAUGAUGACGUGGCAAAGGAGGAAUUUAGAUCUUUCAUACAUGAUUCAUCUUCCAUUUAAGAUCAUGAGAGAAAAUGGGUACAAUUCUCACAACGCAAUAAAGUAACAAGUGAGGAGUCCUGACUGCAUUAGAUGUAUCAGAUGAGAAAGUUGUGGUGUGCUCCAUCUCUUGAGGGGUGUUGUUUCCUAGGAUUGAGCAGCAAUCGGCGGAGUGAGAGCUUGAACUCUGUGCAUACGCAUCUUGAGGAUAAUAUGAUGUUGUUUCAAAUGCUAGAGCACUAUGAGCGUUGCAUUGCGUCACGACGCUUGAAUGAGGCUCUCCAAGACAUCGAUACCUUGUCCGUUCCAUUUACAGAGGAAAAUGCUUCAAGUCUUGUGAAACAUGCCACAAAGUUUAUCACUCCUACUAUGUUUAAGUUGGUCUUAUGAAGCAUAAAUGCUGGCAGCAAAUGUGUGAUUAGAGAGGUACUAGAUGCAUCAUAAGUUACCACCUAUGUUGUGUCUAAGAAGGAAAGAAUGAAUAAAAAAUUCAAAGUGCGCUGUGAGGAGCAGGAAGGUCUUUUACACAGGAUCAAUUGUUCUUGUCGUAAGGUGGAAUGCGCAGCACCAUCUUCCCACAUAUGUUACAUAUUUGAAAUUUUAUAAGAAGAAAGACUACCAAGGUGUUGUGUUCCCACUAGGUGGACAAUGCGUGCAAAAUUUGCAUACGCUCCGACCAGAAAGAACGAGAUGUAUGACUAUUUGGCAAGCUUGCAGAGGUACCGUCAGUUGCGGAAUUUUAGUCACGCAACAUGUUUCAAGGCAUCCACUCUGAUGAGGUGCGUCAGCGUCUAA